CCUACGGGAGGCAGCAGUAGGGAAUUUUCGGCAAUGGGCGAAAGCCUGACCGAGCAACGCCGCGUGAGUGAUGAAGGCCUUCGGGUUGUAAAGCUCUGUUGUCAGGGAAGAAUGAUCAGGAUAGGAAAUGAUCUUGAAGUGACGGUACCUGACCAGAAAGCCACGGCUAACUACGUGCCAGCAGCCGCGGUAAUACGUAGGUGGCAAGCGUUAUCCGGAAUUAUUGGGCGUAAAGGGUGCGUAGGCGGUUUAGUGUGUCUUAUGUGAAAUCUCAGGGCUUAACUCUGGGCUGCAUAAGAAACUAUUAGACUAGAGUGCAGGAGAGGGCAACGGAAUUCCAUGUGUAGCGGUAAAAUGCGUAGAUAUAUGGAGGAACACCGGUGGCGAAGGCGGUUGCCUGGCCUGUUACUGACGCUGAAGCACGAAAGCGUGGGGAGCAAAUAGGAUUAGAUACCCUAGUAGUCCACGCUGUAAACGAUGAAUACUAAGUGUUGGGAUAAAACUCAGUGCUGCAGUUAACGCAAUAAGUAUUCCGCCUGGGGAGUACGCACGCAAGUGUGAAACUCAAAGGAAUUGACGG
RNAcentral lists this ribosomal RNA (580 nucleotides) under uncultured Bacillota bacterium. RNAcentral's name for it is "bacterial SSU rRNA". It matches the Rfam family "Bacterial small subunit ribosomal RNA", at positions 338 to 916 of the family's 1533-position model. Lineage: Bacteria; Bacillati; Bacillota. The record is from RNAcentral.